UUCCGGUUGAUCCUGCCGGACCUGACUGCUAUCGGAUUGAUACUAAGCCAUGCGAGUCAUUGUAGUAAUACAAGGCAGACGGCUCAGUAACGCGUAGUCAACCUAACCUAUGGACGGGAAUAACCUCGGGAAACUGAGUAUAAUACCCGAUAGAACAUUAUGCCUGGAAUGGUUUAUGUUCCAAAUGAUUUAUCGCCGUAGGAUGGGACUGCGGCCUAUCAGUUUGUUGGUGAGGUAAUGGCCCACCAAGACUAUUACAGGUACGGGCUCUGAGAGGAGUGGCCCGGAGAUGGGUACUGAGACACGGACCCAGGCCCUAUGGGGCGCAGCAGGCGAGAAAACUUUGCAAUGUGUGAAAGCACGACAAGGUUAAUCCGAGUGGUUUCUGCUAAAGGAACCUUUUGUUAGUCGUAGAACCACUAACGAAUAAGGGGUGGGCAAGUUCUGGUGUCAGCCGCCGCGGUAAAACCAGCACCUCAAGUGGUCAGGAUGAUUAUUGGGCCUAAAGCAUCCGUAGCCGGCUCUGUAAGUUUUCGGUUAAAUCUGUACGCUUAACGUACAGGCUGCCGGGAAUACUGCAGAGCUAGGGAGUGGGAGAAGUAGACGGUACUCGGGAGGAAGUGGUAAAAUGCUUUGAUCUCUCGAUGACCACCUGUGGCGAAGGCGGUCUACUAGAACACGUCCGACGGUGAGGGAUGAAAGCUGGGGGAGCAAACCGGAUUAGAUACCCGGGUAGUCCCAGCUGUAAACUAUGUAAACUCAGUGAUGCAUUGGCUUGUGGCCAAUGCAGUGUUGCAGGGAAGCCGUUAAGUUUACCGCCUGGGUGGUACGUACGCAAGUAUGAAACUUAAAGGAAAUGGCGGGGGAGCACCACAAGGGGUGAAGCCUGCGGUUCAAUUGGAUUCAACGCCGGA
This 914-nucleotide ribosomal RNA is filed under the name uncultured archaeon. RNAcentral describes it as "bacterial SSU rRNA". It matches the Rfam family "Archaeal small subunit ribosomal RNA", at positions 1 to 922 of the family's 1478-position model. The record is from RNAcentral.